RNAcentral lists this ribosomal RNA (258 nucleotides) under Triticum aestivum (bread wheat). RNAcentral's name for it is "partial small subunit ribosomal RNA". Lineage: Eukaryota; Viridiplantae; Streptophyta; Magnoliopsida; Poales; Poaceae. The record is from RNAcentral.
AUGGCUCUUAGGUUUGGUUUAAUUCUUGCACAAAAGGUGGGAUGCAAUCGUCUUAUUAUUAACUCUGAAAAUAUGGAAGUCAUUGACACAAUGAAGAAUGGAGGACAAUCGGUGGGGGUUGCAGCGGCAGUAUUCUAGGAAUGCUACUUCAUGGCAUGCGAUUUUUCGUUGACUAGAUUUGUACAUUGUAAUAGGGUAGCUAAUAAGGUUGCUCAUGAACUUGCUAGGCUAGCGAAAGCUUCUUGUAAGUGCAUCUAG